AUUGAACGCUGGCGGCAGGCUUAUCACAUGCAAGUCGAGCGGAGAUGAGGUGCUUGCACCUUAUCUUAGCGGCGGACGGGUGAGUAAUGCUUAGGAAUCUGCCUAUUAGUGGGGGACAACAUUCCGAAAGGAAUGCUAAUACCGCAUACGUCCUACGGGAGAAAGCAGGGGAUCUUCGGACCUUGCGCUAAUAGAUGAGCCUAAGUCGGAUUAGCUAGUUGGUGGGGUAAAGGCCUACCAAGGCGACGAUCUGUAGCGGGUCUGAGAGGAUGAUCAGCCACACUGGGACUGGGACACGGCCCAGACUCCGACGGGAGGCAGCAGUGGGGAAUAUUGGGCAAUGGGGGGAACCCUGAUCCAGCCAUGCCGCGUGUGUGAAGAAGGCCUUAUGGUUGUAAAGCACUUUAAGCGAGGAGGAGGCUACUGAGACUAAUACUCUUGGAUAGUGGACGUUACUCGCAGAAUAAGCACCGGCUAACUCUGUGCCAGCCGCCGCAGUAA
RNAcentral lists this ribosomal RNA (501 nucleotides) under uncultured bacterium. RNAcentral's name for it is "partial 16S ribosomal RNA". It matches the Rfam family "Bacterial small subunit ribosomal RNA", at positions 30 to 523 of the family's 1533-position model. The record is from RNAcentral.